AAUUCAAGUUCGGAAGGCUCUGCCAUACAUCCGCACCUAGAGCCCAUAUGAUGUUGCUAAAAUUUCAGAUCUCACAUUCCUUUAGAGCUCUUGCAAUUCCGCUUUGCUCACAGAUCACAGUGCUUUGAUGCAGGCGUGCCAUGCUAGAUCCCCAUGCCAGUGUCUUCCAUGGCUCACAAUUCCGUCCAAAUUUCUUCCAAGAAACCUUGAGAAACACCUUGUAACACUUCUGACCUCCAUUUGCGGGCUUGUCUUGUGAUCUGCAGAAUCUUCUCAAGACAAUGGAAGCAGUUCAGUUUCCUGGUAGAGCUGGCAGACUGUCCAGGUUUCACAGGCAUACACCCAUGAAGUCAGCACAAUGGCUGUGUAGACCUUCAGUUUGGAGGGCAGAUUAAUACUUCUCUCCCACUCUUUGGCUCCUUUGGAGCCUCCCAAACACAGUAUCUCUAGUUCAUAAUGCAUGCAUCAAUCUCACCAUCUACGUACACAUCCCUGGAAAAUAUACUGCCAAGGACCUGUAGAUGACUAUGGUUCUGUAAGGACUACUAUAGGAAGAAAAUAAGGGAGAAAAGUGGAUGCAUCUGGGUUCAGCUCUCUCGACUGUGUUCUACAACCUACUUGAUGGCCCAGAGGAAAAGCAGCCUAGAGGAAAAGCAACCCAGAGGAAAAGCAACCCAGUGGAAAAGCAUCCCAGAGGAAAAGCAUCCCAGAGGAAAAUAUUUUAAAUCAGCCCAGAGGAAAAGCAUCAAGAAAAGAUGCUAGAGACAAGAAACAAAGAGGAAAAGCUGAAAUGGACAGCUAAGACUUUGAACUGUAAUAAUAUUUUUAAUAAUACCAGAGACUGAAAAACUCCUUGACAUGGCAUACUAUUUGCAAAAAAUGAUUCUGCAAAAUGACACACUGCUUCAAUUUGGGCUUACUGGCAUCACAUGCAUCAUUGAUAAAGGAUAAAGAGAUUAGAGUUUCCUUUGCCCCUGAAACUUUAGCAGUGAAAUAAGUCUUCUGAAAAAAUGCAUUAUGGGAGAAUACUAUUCAUUAUCUACAUCUACACUUUGAGUAGAAUUGACGUGGGCAAAGGGAGAAUGAAUGAAGGGACGAGCAAUUACACUGGUAAAGGAGACAAGGAGCCCUGUCUGAAAGUUUGCUGGGAUUCAUGAAAUCAAAUUGCAUGCAGAGAUCCUUGAGAGCCACCAGAUGGCAGGAGUGGUAUGUGUAGGCAUUUGUGGAGCAGAGACCUUUGAGUUGACAUCUUUUAGGGAAAAAUGCCACCGAUCCAAAUUGCUGAAGAAAAUUAAUACCGGCAAGGAAAGAUAAAGCAAGACAUGAUAAAAAAAAAGUCUUUGGGUGAAUUUUAUUGUUGAUGAAAAGUGGAGAUUGGCAGUGCAAGAGGCUAGAGUUUUACAAAAGGACCUGAAAUACUUCCAAUGGGCUUGCCUAAAAUGAGUGUGCCUGAGUUAAAAACUAUCCAGUUUUCUCUUUUCUCCAACUGAAAUGACCCAUAAACCAUCCUACUCCCUCAUUCUUCUCAUGCUACACUGUCCAGAAAUGCUAUUCAAUGAUCAACUAAUGUUGUCAACCAGAUGGUCAGAAAAUCUACCUGAUAGAAGAAAAGUAACUUAGUUGGAGAUAAGUUUAAAUCAGAAAACAGCCUUACUCCUGCAAUAAGAGGCAAAAUAAGAUUUCUUUCUGCACAACAUUUCUGAUGGGAUAUGAUGUCUACAAGAUGUCUUGUAAUGUGCAAGCUCGAUGAUUAUGGUUUUCAUGCAGCCUGACAUUUGCACGAUAGGAAUGCAAAAAAUCUUAGUAUCUUGAUCAUGUGAUUACAAAGUUGAUAAGGUGUGAUUAUGGGGUAAAUGAAGGGAAGGUUCAGUGUAUAAAAACACAAAUGAGAACAUGCCAUCCAUUAGGAAUGGAUUUGUUCUUUAAUGGCAAACCCGUGUGGUGGUUUGGAAAUAAUUUGAUGACAAGUUUAGAAGCUAUAAGUACAUAUUUCCCUUAGAAACAGUAAGAAAUUGGUUGCAGUCACUGAACUGAAACCAAAAUGACUUUACUCAUGAUGAUGAAUUGCUCUAGAAGCAAACAUAAUUAAAAGAAUGCACAUGCUCAUUAUCACAGAAGAAUAUACAUGUUCAUGAACCACUAAAUAGGAAACACUGAUCUAAAUAAUUACACAUCCAAAAAAUGCCCCUGAAAUAUUUAUAAGACUUAUUAUCCCUUCCACCAUCUUUAUCCAGAGGAAGGGACUUAGAGCUGGAAGGGACUUUGUAAUCCAUCAAGUCUAACAUCCUCAUUUUACAAAUAAGGAAACUGAGAUACAGAAUGUUAAGUGACUUGUCUAGGGUCACAAAACUAGUCUGAAGCUGAUUUUGAACUCAGGUCCCUCUGAUUCCAAGCCAGAUGUUUUAUCCUUCAUAAAACCUAACUGCUCUUUUGGGAGCUGGCUCAGAACAGGACUUAGGAGGGCCAGAGUCAAGAAAUGAUGAAGCUCUGGUGUUUCUCCCAGUCAAAGUGCUUUGAGACUUCUUUAAUAUCUCCCAGGCUGACCUGACACUUUUACAGCAUACAUAGAACUUACUGCUGUCAGAAGAAUAUAUGUGGAGUAAGUUGGGUUGUGUGUAGCAGAUAUGUCUUGGUGUGCAGCUGAAUAGAGGAAAAUGCCUCUCUCUGUUUAGGGAAAAACUUGGGGAGAACUGAGCUCUGUGAGCAGGACUGAGAAGAUACAAGGAGCCCAUUAUGUAUGAUGGAGCCAGGAAAGCUAGCUAGUUUCCCAGUAAUGAGAAACUAAUAUACUGUAGUUCCUAUAAUUCUGGAACAUGGAAAAAACAGCAGGACAACCUGCCAACUACUGUUUGAAAAGCUCUGGGAAUAAAUAGGCUUCCCCGUCCUCAAACACUGCAUAAUUCGUGUGGACCUAAUUUUAAUAUAUUCUGAUAUUUCCUUAGAGCAAUGCAGGGAAAUGGCAAAGGGGUGAAGUAGAAAUCUCAUUAGAGAGUCUAUUUUAUGUGCUCUCACACAAGGGAACCCCUUAUGUCUUCUGGAAUGGCCACCCAGAGAUCUUGUUUAUACAAGCUUGAUUUAUUCCAAGGUGGUAGCAUUGAUCAUCUCAGGGACCUUUUAGAGAGUUCACCCUUCACUCUCACCUGUUUUUUCUUAGAACCAGAGACUUGGCCAUGAAGUACAGGGUUGAAAGAUCUGAGUUCAAAACAUACCUCAGGCACUUACUAGUCGUGUGACCCCGGUACCUCAAUUUCUUCAUCUGUAAAAUGAAAAUAAUAAUACUACCCAGCUCACAAUAUUACUGUGAGGACCAAGUGAGGUAACAUAUGUAAGAAGCUUUGUAAACCUGAAAAGUGUUAUAUAAAUGUUAUCUGUUAUUAUCUUUAUCUCUUUCCCCCCAAUUUCAUUAAUGCCUUCUUUUAAUAUCACUAUCACUUCUUGGUAACCAUACAUUCCUAUUUUAUAACAAAUAACACCUAUUUAUACAGUGCUUUAAAGUUUGUAAAGCACUUUUCAAAUAUUAUAUAAUUUUAUCGAUACAACAACCCUUGGAGGUAGAUGCUAUUAUUAUCUCCAUUUUUAUAGACAAGGAUAUAGAAGCUACUUGACUUGUC
Monodelphis domestica (gray short-tailed opossum) is the source of this 3611-nucleotide non-coding RNA. The record is from RefSeq and is a predicted model, not a curated record. NCBI's taxonomy places the organism in Eukaryota, Metazoa, Chordata, Mammalia, Didelphimorphia, Didelphidae.